CCUCAGAAUAGCCAAAGCUUUUAUGGUUUGGUAGAUAGCAGUAUGGUGAAAGCGUCGUUUAGGGUGUGGUCAGUUUCGGACGUUUCGCCCCGGAUUGGGGUUCGGGCAGCGUUACCAUGUUGACCGUCAUGGUCAACUUGCCCCAAAACAGUUGAGAUUAUCUGUCCUAAAUGAAAUGCAUGCAAACUCAUAUACAGGUCCUAGACUAUUGCCAUAACAGGAUAACUCAACACAAUUAAGUAGGCAGAUUCAGAUUUGACUUCCGCAUCCGCUACCGUUACCAUAAAGGAGCCAAUUACCAAUCAGAUACGUUUAAUAUAUCUGAUUAACCAAUCAGAUGCGUAUUAAGCCUUCGAUAAUGUUAAAUACACGUCUGCGAGCGAUACGUGUAUAGUGCCAAAAGAAUUUGAUUUGUAAAUAGGUUAGAUCAACCAAAGUCUCAGAUAAAGAGUCUACAUUUUAUUGUAUAUAUUUAGAUAAUUUUGUUUUAUCUUGUAACUAU
Molecule: non-coding RNA, 502 nt
Organism: Paramuricea clavata
Lineage: Eukaryota; Metazoa; Cnidaria; Anthozoa; Malacalcyonacea; Plexauridae
Source: the annotation of a GenBank genome assembly